This 363-nucleotide long non-coding RNA is filed under the name Citrus maxima (pomelo). Its description in RNAcentral is "long non-coding RNA (CMAX_LNC003085)". Lineage: Eukaryota; Viridiplantae; Streptophyta; Magnoliopsida; Sapindales; Rutaceae. The record is from RNAcentral.
GUAGAAAUGGAGGCGGUGCAGUUGAGGUUGGUGUUGUUUUGGAGAAGCCACAAAUGGAAGCUUUUUCUUCUCUCUUCGUUAAUGGCCUUAACUGAGUUUAUCAUAUUUUUGAGUUUUUUUCUCUUCAUUCUAUUCUCCUAUGAUGAGAUUGUGAUGGUAUACUCGUUAUUCUAUUCUACUAUGAUGAGAUUGUGAUGGUCUCUUCAUUCUAUUCUUCGCACGCAGUCUCUUUUCUUAGUAAACCUAUUACAAUCUUAUUACAUAUUAUAUAUUUGUAGAUCAAAAGUAUUAAAAAAUAAUUAAAGACUUGAGGUUAUUCUCUUAUUUGAUAAGUAUCUAAUUAGUGUAAAUGUCAGUUGUUAC